CAACUGUGCAUGCACUUUUCUAUUUGGUGCUUGUAGACGUUAUGGGAAAGUUGUCUCUCUCCCUGCAUCUCUCUCCCUCUCCCCAUCCCUCCCUCCUGCUUAUUCUCCUCGUCUAUCAUGUGCUCGGGAUAUGCUUAUGCUUUGCACAGAGCAGCUGAAGCACGCCUAAUGCGGGCUACUGAGUGUUAGCGGCAAUUUUAAAGUGAUGCCCCCCAAAAUACGGCUGGGAUAUUUUAGGGGAACCUAUAGCCUACAUGACGGACCCCACUGAACACCGCUCUUCUUCUCCUGCUUGGGACGAUUUCUGAUCUCUUGCCGUGAUUUGUCUCACCUUUAGGAAUGUUGGAGAGAUGUAGCUGUGGAAAGCUUCAGCCUGCAGGAAGUGGAGGUCAGUUAGAGAUCUCUGGGAUUUUGCUGUCCACUGGACCUGCUUAAGGUGCAAGGGCUGCCACAGAGAUCAUGACCCAGAAACAGAUGGCAUAAUGACCGGAGUCUCCAGGCUAACGACACCAAGGAUAUUCAGCUGAUCUCAGAGGUGCACGACUCAUCCUGAUCAACUACAGAGAAGUGUGGAUCUCAUCAAGGCAGGCACCUGAAGAUAUCUAUUCAUAAAAUGCACAUGCAUGAGUGUUGCAUACCAUCCUCUGCAGCAAACUCAUGCAAAGUAGGUUAUCAUUGUGUAUUGUGUAGACUCAGGUUGACCAAUGAUAAGGCUUCAUUUGUUAAAAUAUUUUAUAUUUCUAAUUGAAGGAAACACUGCUUAAAAGGAGAUUAUGAUAUUUCAUAUGUUGAAACUCUGUAUUUAUUUUAUAUAUACAAUUGAGUCUGAGUAUAUUAUU
This is a long non-coding RNA of Myripristis murdjan (pinecone soldierfish), 839 nucleotides long. RefSeq lists it as uncharacterized. Lineage: Eukaryota; Metazoa; Chordata; Actinopteri; Holocentriformes; Holocentridae. The record is from RefSeq and is a predicted model, not a curated record. The transcript has 4 exons.